UACAGAGGGGGCAAGCGUUGUUCGGAAUUACUGGGCGUAAAGGGCGCGUAGGCGGCCAACUAAGUCGGACGUGAAAUCCCCAGGCUCAACCUGGGAACUGCGUCCGAUACUGAUUGGCUCGAGUUCGGGAGAGGGAAGGGGAAUUCCAGGUGUAGCGGUGAAAUGCGUAGAUAUCUGGAGGAACACCGGUGGCGAAGGCGGCUCCCUGGACCGACACUGACGCUGAGGCGCGAAAGCCAGGGGAGCAAACGGG
This 253-nucleotide ribosomal RNA is filed under the name uncultured bacterium. RNAcentral's name for it is "partial 16S ribosomal RNA". It matches the Rfam family "Bacterial small subunit ribosomal RNA", at positions 524 to 776 of the family's 1533-position model. The record is from RNAcentral.